This is a long non-coding RNA of Triticum aestivum (bread wheat), 1094 nucleotides long. RefSeq lists it as uncharacterized. The record is from RefSeq and is a predicted model, not a curated record. Lineage: Eukaryota; Viridiplantae; Streptophyta; Magnoliopsida; Poales; Poaceae. The transcript has 2 exons.
UAUAAAUCAUCAAUAUCAUACGUCUAUUACUCUUCCUGAUUCUACAUAUUGUUUUCAGUCAUAGAUUUAGAGUGUUUUUUUUUCAUGUUCUUGCAAAGCAGAUGUGUUUAAAAAACUAUAGCUAUUUUACUGCUUUUCGGAUGCUAUGAAAUGCUUAUACUAAAUUUCACAAAUAUGUUCAUGUCUUUCUAUAUUUAUACAAUGUAUGUUGUGUUGCUCAAUGCUCGCUACCUCUGGUAUUAAUCUCUCUUGCAUUCCUUUACUAAUACCAUUAUCUUGUGCUUCUAAAUACCACAAUCUGAUCAAAGCCUUACGCCUCUGCAAAAUGGCGAGGUCUUCAUGGCACUAAAAUCUGGUAUUUACCUCCAUUUUCUGCCGUCAACUGAACUUUUCGAAUUCUAUUUUAAGUCCACAAGAGGGCAAAAUCAUUGCUCUUUCCCAGAUUAUCUAAAUCAGAUGAGCGGGUUCCAAACUCCAAGUGCCAUUUGCCGUUUUUGUGUUUUGAUUUUUACUUGAGUGCCUUUGGACCGAUGGUAGUAUGGAGAGGUGACAUUAGCACGGUUGAUGGUUGCUUCUCUCUUGUAGAGUACAUCUCCUUCUUCUAUAUUCCAAUAUAUCAAUAAAACAAGAGAUCUAUAAUAUCAUUGUUUAUGGAGUUCACAGAUUAUUGAAGAUUUUUGCUGCCAUGGAAUUGUGAGUUUGUGACUAUACAUUCUUGUGUCUUGAAGAUGUAUUGUCUCUGUAUGUGAAUGUCAAUAUCCAGAGUCCAUGAUAUCAUACAGUUUGAAGUCAAAAAAUUCAUGAUAUGGGUGAUAUGGAAAAGUCAUUGCCUUCUUUGCUGGAACAUUCCCUGAUUGCCUGGACUUCUUGGGUCAAUCGCUGGACGCCACCCCCGUCUCCUGGACGUCAUGACGCCGCCGAUUUCCUUGACGCCGCGUGCCACCGAUCUUCUAUAACUCAAUUUCUCCAAUUUCUCUCGGCUGUGAGCUCAUAUAUAUUUUUGAGCUGUGAACUUAUUAUGUAAACUCAACACUUUGUUUUGUGACAAGUGAACUCAUUUCAUAUUCAUCUAUCAAUCAUGGUUGAAGUGUCUA